AUUGAACGCUGGCGGAAUGCUUUACACAUGCAAGUCGAACGGCAGCACGGGGCAACCUGGUGGCGAGUGGCGAACGGUGAGUAAUACAUCGGAACGUGCCCAAUCGUGGGGGAUAACGUAGCGAAAGUUACGCUAAUACCGCAUACGAUCUACGGAUGAAAGCGGGGGAUCGCAAGACCUCGCGCGAAUGGAGCGGCCGAUGUCAGAUUAGGUAGUUGGUGGGGUAAAGGCUCACCAAGCCAACGAUCUGUAGCUGGUCUGAGAGGACGACCAGCCACACUGGAACUGAGACACGGUCCAGACUCCUACGGGAGGCAGCAGUGGGGAAUUUUGGACAAUGGGCGCAAGCCUGAUCCAGCCAUUCCGCGUGCAGGAUGAAGGCCUCGGUUGUAACUGCUUUGUAC
This 404-nucleotide ribosomal RNA is filed under the name uncultured bacterium. RNAcentral describes it as "bacterial SSU rRNA". It matches the Rfam family "Bacterial small subunit ribosomal RNA", at positions 30 to 440 of the family's 1533-position model. The record is from RNAcentral.